This 2577-nucleotide long non-coding RNA is filed under the name Macaca fascicularis (crab-eating macaque). RNAcentral describes it as "lncRNA (ENSMFAG00000054651.1)". The stretch from base 2192 to 2271 matches the Rfam family "Small nucleolar RNA U3". The record is from RNAcentral. Lineage: Eukaryota; Metazoa; Chordata; Mammalia; Primates; Cercopithecidae.
AGGCGGAGCUUGCAGUGAGCUGAGAUCUGGCCACUGCACUCCAGCCUGGGCGACAGAGCGAGACUCCGUCUCAAAAAAAAAAAAAAAAAAAAGAAUGAAAGUAUAAAAGCCAUAGAAGAAUUUUUCUGUUAUCUUGGGAGUAGAGAGACCUUCCUAAGUUUGACACAAAUCCCAGAAGCUAUAACAUAAAAGAUUGAUACAUUUGACAACAUCAAAAUGAGAACCACUUCAUGAGAGUACCACCAUAAACAAAGUCAAAAGAUACAUGAUAAUCUGAGAAAAAUAAUUUGGAAAAAAAUAUGAUAAAAGGAGUUACUUUUCUUCAUAUACAAAGAGCCUUUAAAAAUAAAUAAAAAGUGUUAUUAAUUGAAAAAUGGGCAAAAGGACAUGGAUAGAAAUUCACAGAAAAGAAGUGUAAGUGGCUCUUAAAUAUAUGAAAAGACCCACAACCCUCUUAUAAUAAAAAGUACAAAUCAGAGCCACAAUAAGAAGGCAUUUGUAAUCUAUCAGAUUGGAAGAGAUCAAAAUAUUUAAUAAUACACUGAUUUGGUGACAGUGUAAAGAAAUAUUACUUUCAUACAUUGCUGGUGAGAGUAAAUGGAUAUAAUUGCUUUGGAAGGCAAUUUUGUGAUAUUUAUCUAAAUUAUAAAUGCCCAUCUCUUAGAACCCAGCUGUUCCACUAAUAGGUAUCUGUCCUAGAGAAACAUUCACAUGUACAAUGUUCAUUGGACAUUAUAGUAAUCGUAGAAAAUUGAAGACAACAAUGUAAAUAUCCAUCAGUGGGAGAUGAGCUAAAUAAAACCUGAGUUGUUCAGAUCUUUAGUGGGUCAAUAAAAUACCUUAGUGGGUUUUGACACUGUGUGAAACAAAAGAAUAGAAGAUAAUGGAGUGCAUUGCACAUAAUGUGGCUGAAUAUUUGGUGAGCUUUUGUUUCAGUUUUGUGUAUUCACAAAUGCGAACUGGAUUACAAUAUAAAGUGUAUUUCUUACUGUGUGAUUCAGUCAAAAAAGUUGGAAAACACUGCAAGAGUAGUUAAAAGGAAUACAUUCAGUUAGUAACUAGUCGUAAGACUAGAUCUCAGAAACGUAAUUUUGAGUGAAAAAAGCAGGUUGCAGAGUGAUAGGUACAGGGUGACACUGUUUUUGAAAAAGAAAACACACAAAACGAUAUCAUAUUUUUGACAGUAUAAUAUUUUUAAUGGAAUCACUUAUUCAUACAAAAGAGGCCUGAAAGCUGUGAACCAGGCUUGUAACAGAGGUUUCCUCUGGGGACAGAGUGGUGUUCAGAGAGGCCUAUGCUUUAUGGCACAUUUUUUAAAAAUGUGAAUGUUUUGCCUGUAUAAGUGGCUAAAAAAUGUUUACACAUUAUUGAAAGACUCUCCAAGGAUGCUUUAAGUCCAGGUGCUUUCCCCUUGGUUGUUUUUCACUUACUCUAAUUUGUCUUCUGUUGCUGCUCAGUUUGUGUCUUUCCUUUUGCUUUCAUUUGGGUGUCUUGUAAAUUUGUAAGUACCACCCUGUUGAUUUUGUCUUUCAAAGUUAUUAUCUGAAGAUUGCACAUAAAAUUCCUUGUAUCAGUGGCUUUUAUUGGGUCUUUGUGUUUCUUUUUUAACUUUUCCAGUUUAUUCCUUUGAAAUAAAUUGGGCCCAUGGUUUAUUAAUUUCAUGAAAAACUUUUUUCCCCACAGGGCCCACUUUUGGCUUUCCUUCUCUUCCCUGACAUUUGCUCACAUUCUUGUUACUUGUAUUUUCACUUGUAAUUUUUCUUUUAUCUUUCAUUUUUUCUUCUGUAAAUUUUGGCCAAUGCAAGUGCAGCAGUACUUCUUAAACUUCAAGGUGCACAUGAAUCUCCUUGGGUCUAGAACUCUUGUUAAAACACAGAUUUUGGGCCAGCCGUGGUGGCCCACGCCUCUUCCCAAAGUGCUGGGAUUACAGACAUGAGCCAUCAUGCCCCAUCACUGAGCUGACUUUGUAGGUCCAUUUGGAUCAGUUAGUUAUUCUUAACAUUUUUGGUGGCUGACAGACGUCUUUGGGAAUAUGAUGGAAGCCAUGGACUUUCCCUUCAGAAACAUUCCCCACUUCUGUAUUCAUGCACACCAAACUCCCAGUUUUUAUUUUGCCUGUGUGAGCUGCAAGCCUCCUAAAGCCUAGCUAGCUAUGACCAUACAUAGGACCCCUGAUUUAAAUGGUGCUAUUAAGACUGUACUUUCAGGAAUCAUUUCUAUAGUUCACUACUAAAGAAAUUUCUCUGAACAUGUAGAGCACCAGAAAAUAUUUUAAAAGAUUUUUUUUAGGCGGGGUGCGGUGGCUCAUGCCUGUAAUCCCAGCACUUUGGGAGGCUGAAGUGGGCAGAUCACCUGAGGUUGGGAGUUCGAGACCAGCCUGACUAACAUCUGUCUCUACUAAAAAUACCAAAAUUAGCUAGUCGUGGUGGUACGUGCCUGUAAUCCCAGCUACUUGGGAGGCUGAAGCAGGAGAAUCGUUUGAACCUGGGAGGUGGAGGUUGUGGUGAGCCGAGAUCGCACCGUUGCACUCCAGCCUGGGCAACAAGAGCAAAACUCUGUCUCAAAAAAGAAAAAAAA